This 504-nucleotide ribosomal RNA is filed under the name Triticum aestivum (bread wheat). RNAcentral describes it as "partial small subunit ribosomal RNA". The record is from RNAcentral. Lineage: Eukaryota; Viridiplantae; Streptophyta; Magnoliopsida; Poales; Poaceae.
AUGGAGCCAUUACGCGUCGCCUUCCCUGGCCUAUUCUCGAUUUGUGUAGAUCCGUCUGUUCUUGUGGCCACGACCUUCCAAGAUGGACAGUGGAACCUUGAGUUCCGUCGCUCGUUCGGACCGGCCGAGAUUAAUGCCUGGACUACAUUGCGGGCCGCCCUGCCACUCGUGCUCCCGGAUCAUCCGGACACAGUUUCAUGGCGGCAAACGCCGACAGCGGAGUUCUCAGUGGGCACGGCUUACCAGGCCCUUUGCCCGCCGACAACUCACCCCUGGCUUGUCCCUCUAUGGAAAGCCCCCGUCCCAUUAAAGAUUAAGAUUUUUAUUUGGCAACUUCUACGAGAUCGUCUCCCCUCGGGGACAGAGGUACUUAAGCGGCACGGACCUGGGGAUGGUAUUUGCCCCCUCUGUGCAGUACCGGAGACUGGGACACAUAUUCUCUUCUCUUGUACGGCAGCGAGGGUAUUAUGGACUUUCGUCCGCGAGGCGUUGGGGCCUGACUAG